This 516-nucleotide long non-coding RNA is filed under the name Cyanistes caeruleus (blue tit). RNAcentral's name for it is "lncRNA (ENSCCEG00000009755.1)". The record is from RNAcentral. Lineage: Eukaryota; Metazoa; Chordata; Aves; Passeriformes; Paridae.
CAGUAAACCACGUUAGAAGAUGUUGAAUGUUCUUGGGAAAUGUUGCUCUUUCGAGAUCAAAAUUCCAGAAAAUUCGGGACAGUUUGGUUUCUUCUAACAGGUGCUGGCUCCUUUUUCUCGAAUUCACAGCUGUUUCUCCGAAUGCCAUUUAAAGGAGCUCCGGGGGUGUUUAAUAACGAAACCGAGCGCUCUCGAAAGCGCAGGACGGUGUUUGGCCCCGAGCUGGGAGCAGUGAGUGGCCCCGGACUCGCCAUGUCCAACACGUCCCAUCUGAGGGGUUUUGGCUCUCGUUCCUGUUUUGUUUCAUCAUUCCUGGAAUCGCUCCUGCCCGGGGAUCACCGCUCUCGCUUGCACUUCGUGCCCUCUGCUGGGAGAGAUGGAUCAAACCAGCCCGAAGGAAAACCACGCUUCGCUCCAGGCUUUGGGCAAAGGCAGUUUUGGCAUUUGACAUGGCUCCACCAGGACUUGCUGAUGGAUGGCAGGACACAGAGGGACACAAGGACGUGCUCAAGAUGA